CCCGCACAAGCGGAGGAACAUGUGGUUAAUUCGAUGAUACGCGAGGAACCUUACCUGGGCUUAAAUGUAGAGUGCAUUUUUAGAGAUAGAAAUUCCCUUCGGGGCUUUCUGCAAGGUGCUGCAUGGUUGUCGUCAGCUCGUGCCGUGAGGUGUCGGGUUAAGUCCCAUAACGAGCGCAACCCUUAUCGUUAGUUGCCAUCUGGUAAUGCAGGGGACUCUAGCGAAACUGCCACCGUAAGGUGAGAGGAAGGUGGGGAUGACGUCAAAUCAGCACGGCCCUUAUGUCCAGGGCUACACACGUGUUACAAUGGUCGGUACAGAGGGCAGCUACCUGGUGACAGGAUGCUAAUCUCGAAAACCGGUCUCAGUUCGGAUCGAAGUCUGCAACUCGACUUCGUGAAGCUGGAUUCGCUAGUAAUCGCGCAUCAGCUAUGGCGCGGUGAAUACGUUCCCGGGCCUU
Molecule: ribosomal RNA, 460 nt
Filed under: uncultured Sphingobacteriales bacterium
Lineage: Bacteria; Pseudomonadati; Bacteroidota; Sphingobacteriia; Sphingobacteriales
Description: bacterial SSU rRNA
Rfam family: Bacterial small subunit ribosomal RNA
Source: RNAcentral